RNAcentral lists this ribosomal RNA (465 nucleotides) under Vreelandella stevensii. RNAcentral's name for it is "partial 16S ribosomal RNA". It matches the Rfam family "Bacterial small subunit ribosomal RNA", at positions 338 to 795 of the family's 1533-position model. The record is from RNAcentral. Lineage: Bacteria; Pseudomonadati; Pseudomonadota; Gammaproteobacteria; Oceanospirillales; Halomonadaceae.
CCUACGGGGCGCUGCAGUGGGGAAUAUUGGACAAUGGGCGAAAGCCUGAUCCAGCCAUGCCGCGUGUGUGAAGAAGGCCUUCGGGUUGUAAAGCACUUUCAGUGGGGAAGAAAGCCUUGGGGCUAAUACCCUCGAGGAAGGACAUCACCCACAGAAGAAGCACCGGCUAACUCCGUGCCAGCAGCCGCGGUAAUACGGAGGGUGCGAGCGUUAAUCGGAAUUACUGGGCGUAAAGCGCGCGUAGGCGGUCUGAUAAGCCGGUUGUGAAAGCCCCGGGCUCAACCUGGGAACGGCAUCCGGAACUGUCAGGCUAGAGUGCAGGAGAGGAAGGUAGAAUUCCCGGUGUAGCGGUGAAAUGCGUAGAGAUCGGGAGGAAUACCAGUGGCGAAGGCGGCCUUCUGGACUGACACUGACGCUGAGGUGCGAAAGCGUGGGUAGCAAACAGGAUUAGAUACCCGUGUAGUC